Molecule: ribosomal RNA, 580 nt
Filed under: Escherichia coli
Lineage: Bacteria; Pseudomonadati; Pseudomonadota; Gammaproteobacteria; Enterobacterales; Enterobacteriaceae
Description: partial 23S ribosomal RNA
Rfam family: Bacterial large subunit ribosomal RNA
Source: RNAcentral
AUGGAGCCGACCUUGAAAUACCACCCUUUAAUGUUUGAUGUUCUAACGUGGACCCGUGAUCCGGGUUGCGGACAGUGUCUGGUGGGUAGUUUGACUGGGGCGGUCUCCUCCUAAAGAGUAACGGAGGAGCACGAAGGUUGGCUAAUCCUGGUCGGACAUCAGGAGGUUAGUGCAAUGGCAUAAGCCAGCUUGACUGCGAGCGUGACGGCGCGAGCAGGUGCGAAAGCAGGUCAUAGUGAUCCGGUGGUUCUGAAUGGAAGGGCCAUCGCUCAACGGAUAAAAGGUACUCCGGGGAUAACAGGCUGAUACCGCCCAAGAGUUCAUAUCGACGGCGGUGUUUGGCACCUCGAUGUCGGCUCAUCACAUCCUGGGGCUGAAGUAGGUCCCAAGGGUAUGGCUGUUCGCCAUUUAAAGUGGUACGCGAGCUGGGUUUAGAACGUCGUGAGACAGUUCGGUCCCUAUCUGCCGUGGGCGCUGGAGAACUGAGGGGGGCUGCUCCUAGUACGAGAGGACCGGAGUGGACGCAUCACUGGUGUUCGGGUUGUCAUGCCAAUGGCACUGCCCGGUAGCUAAAUGCGGA